This 358-nucleotide ribosomal RNA is filed under the name uncultured Streptococcus sp. RNAcentral's name for it is "bacterial SSU rRNA". It matches the Rfam family "Bacterial small subunit ribosomal RNA", at positions 1022 to 1382 of the family's 1533-position model. The record is from RNAcentral. Lineage: Bacteria; Bacillati; Bacillota; Bacilli; Lactobacillales; Streptococcaceae.
GGUACAUCGGUGACAGGUGGUGCAUGGUUGUCGUCUAGCUCGUGUCGUGAGAUGUUGGGUUAAGUCCCGCAACGAGCGCAACCCCUAUUGUUAGUUGCCAUCAUUCAGUUGGGCACUCUAGCGAGACUGCCGGUAAUAAACCGGAGGAAGUGGGAUGACGUCAAAUCAUCAUGCCCCUUAUGACCUGGGCUACACACGUGCUACAAUGGUUGGUACAACGAGUUGCGAGUCGGUGACGGCGAGCUAAUCUCUUAAAGCCAAUCUCAGUUCGGAUUGUAGGCUGCAACUCGCCUACAUGAAGUCGGAAUCGCUAGUAAUCGCGGAUCAGCACGCCGCGGUGAAUACGUUCCCGGGCCUU